RNAcentral lists this long non-coding RNA (213 nucleotides) under Lathyrus oleraceus (garden pea). RNAcentral's name for it is "Pisum sativum (pea) long non-coding RNA (PSAT_LNC001153)". Lineage: Eukaryota; Viridiplantae; Streptophyta; Magnoliopsida; Fabales; Fabaceae. The record is from RNAcentral.
UCAAACUGGGGAUAAAGCAAGAAUUCCAAAGGAAGACACAUCCAUUGGAAAGACACAAGCUGACUCAAACUAUCCACGAAGGAUACUUCGGAUGAAAAUCCGGACUCGGACCAAGGAAAGAUUCACAAAGAAUCUCCUUGUCGGGGGAAAAUUUGCAUAUAUUGGGGAAAACGCCAAUAUAGCAAAGGGCAAAAAUCAUAACGGGAAUCCACU